CUCUGUAAGUCUUAAAAUGGUUACCUUCCAACAUGUCGGACCCAAUAUGUUAUUUUGCGCAAAAAUUAUAUUUGCCUUGAUUUGACUAGAAUGCUUUCUCAUGCAUCUAUGUAAAUAUCACUCACACUGAACCUCAACGACAAACAUCUCAGUAUGCAUUGUGAGCUUCAUCUGCUUUAUCCUCCGUAUGUACAUGAUGUGUUCUCAAGUGUCUCUUUAAAUUACUGAGCCGACUAAACGCUUUGCCACAUUCACAACAGUCGUAAGGUUUAUCGCCUGUAUGUAUACUCAUGUGUCUCCCUAAAUCAUAAUGCUGUCUAAACCGUUUACCACAUACAUCACAAUCAUGAGUUCUAACAUCCGUAUGUGUUCUCAUGUGUCUCUUAAAAUUACUAAGGUGACGAACAACUUUACCACAUACAUCACAUUCAUGAGAUUUAUCCACUGUAUGUGUUCUCAUGUGUCUCUGUAAACUACUAAGGUGACUAAAUCCUUUAC
This 498-nucleotide long non-coding RNA is filed under the name Mytilus galloprovincialis (Mediterranean mussel). The record is from RNAcentral. Lineage: Eukaryota; Metazoa; Mollusca; Bivalvia; Mytilida; Mytilidae.